This 3360-nucleotide unclassified non-coding RNA is filed under the name Hevea brasiliensis (rubber tree). Lineage: Eukaryota; Viridiplantae; Streptophyta; Magnoliopsida; Malpighiales; Euphorbiaceae. The record is from RNAcentral.
GGCAACAUUUUUGAAGUGGCAAAUUAGAUCAAGAAAAAGAAUAGUUUUCAUUUAAAGAAUUCCAGAUCAUUCCAUUCCAGUUUUGAUCCAAGUCUGCAACACAAUAUCUUUCUUUAGAGAAAACCAAAUACACAGCAGUGAAAGAUCUUGUAACGUCUAUCAUUUGCCUUUCAAUAAACACAAACGUGACACUGGACUCGCUCAUUAUCUUUUGCAGCUGUCAUGGAUCAUCUCAAUCUGCAAAAGCAAUACAGAAGCAGCUUCAGUGAGGACAUAAAGUGCUUGAAUAUCACACAAGAAGAAUAGUAUAGACUAGAGAGAGAGGGGCCCUGUCUGUUAAUUAUUGUAGAGAUUGACUAGAGAAACAGCACCAAAAUUCUUAUUUGAAGAAUUACCUGAGAGAGGGGAGGAGGAGGUGGGUUGUUUUGUAGGGGGGGUGGGGGAUUGGUUUGUUUUGUAGUAAUUCAACAUUGUUUAAUCAAAAUGAAAUAGGGAGGGAAAUUAUCAUAUUGCAGAAACCAGAAGCAAAUCAUUCAAUGUACAAGCUCACACCUAAAAUACAUUGCUAAAGAAAUGCAGCCAAUAGCGUGCCAAGCAAGUGAUUGUAAUGCUAACCUUUAUUUAUUGAUAUGGAAAAAGAUGCAGAAUUAAUCAUUAUCUUCUCGACCAUAGUUAUACACAAUCUCAAUCUGCAGUGCCAACCAAAUAUCAGAAUUAAAUGAGGAAAAAAAAUAAAAAAGGAAGCAAAUUAGAGAGCAAAAUAAUGAAUACAUCCACCAAGUUUACAUCCAUAUAUCAACUUAGUUACAACCAAAUAUCAACUACAGCUUGGUUCUGACACUGCAUUUCGCAUUGAGGUAACAACUGAUAUAAAUGGAAAUAGCACAAUAAAAACAGUGGGUGGGACCUUUACCUAGAUUAGGAUUGCUCCCUCCCUUCUUCCCUACCUGCUCUAGAGUAUCUCUCCAGUUUAUGCUACUAUUACUACAAUACUUGAAGAACAAAACAAUGGAUUCUCAAGAAAAAAUAAAAAAACUCAGAUUCACCUUAAGAACAAUAGGUCAUCAAAACAAGAUGACCAUCAACCAUGAGAUUGUACCACACGUAAGUCGCCCAUACAAAGUUCAGAGGCAUGCAUUAAACAAUGUAUUCCCCAAACCUACUUUAGGCCACCCAUUCUGAUUCAGAAUGUGUAAAUAGAAAUGACAUUAUCCAAGGAAUGUAUAUUUGCACGUAUACAUUUCAACUACAAAUUAAGAAUACAAAAGCAAACUCAGGUCUAGAAAUUUUAACUUCCACAAUACACAAGCACAUAAAAGUAUUGAUUACAACAGCUCAGUGUCAUUCUAAACAAAAAAAAGACACAGAAAGGAAGGAGAAUGAAUAAUUGAAAAGAAAAUAAAAUGACCGUAUAUAGACAAGAUCAGUAAAUUGUAAUUGAUUACCCCAGAAGGUGGAGUUGGAUUUCGAGUAAACUUGCUACCGCCAGGAGCCCAAGGAACUGUACAAAAAUGAGAUCAGCAGUUAGACAACUCAUUAAAAGCUAUAAAACUGGGAAAUUGCCACAAUAAAGCUGCAUAUUCUCUGAAACAUACAGGCCAAUUAUGUGCACUACAAUAAGAAGAAAAAAAUAUAUAAAUUUUGUUGAUUCCCUUUCAUGCAAAUAAUUCCUCUUUGUACACAGUUUGAACUCCUUGGCGCCCUUUAGUGCACAAUGCCAAACCAUGUAAAUCCAAGUGUCUUGUUUCUCUCUCUCUGUGCAUCUUAUUUUAACGUAAGUUUGCUACAUAGUUAAUUUUCUGAAAAGAACCUUUCAAAAUUUUGCUCCAAGAAGUGACUGCUUUGAGGCCUCACACCAACAACCUCAUAAAAGAUCUUACAAUUUAACCAGACAAUGACCCUUGCUAAGAGCAAUAUGGCUAAACUGAAACAAUUUUUAACAAUGAGCAUAGAGAAACAAAGACAUAUUUGGGUAAUCCGUGAUGCUGUCCUUAUUGUUUUGGUGUAGACGUGUAGUACCAAAAAGAGUCAAUUAAUGUCAUUCCAGAAAACACCUCCCCAUGCCCAGUUGCCAACACUGAUAGGGAGGAAAAACUUGAAAAGUUAUUAGGGAAGACACAGAAUAAUUUUCUUCAACUUAUCUGAUUCUUGCUUGCUUGAAAACCUGAUAAUGGCAAGGGGCAAUGGGAAAGAAAACUGGCCAAACUCCAACUGAAUCCUAGAAAACCAUCCAAAAUAGAAGCAACAAAGUCAAGGAAGUACCCUAGCAUAACCUGCUUUCCCAUUAUGCUAUUUUUGGGAUAUCUUCAUGGCUUCAACAGUUCAAUAUUUACUCAAGACCAUAAAAAUACAAGAUAUAAAGCUUUGCUAAUCUACGAAACCAUUCUUUCAUCAGAAAAGAAUCAAACUGUAAACAUAAUUAGAAGAAGAAACCCCAUAAAAGAAUGGUGCUGCAGUCAAUUGAGCUAUCAUCCAAUUGGGGGACAAAUAUCCACUAUCUACCUGAAGCAAAGCAUUCUCAACUUCUUCAAAUAAGCUAUAGCAUGCAAAGCAAUUCUCUCAUUCCAAGACCUUUCCAAAGAUAAAAUAAGCUUUUCUAAGAGAAAGCUGAAUGCGCAUAAAACAAAUCCUCAAUGAACGGGUAAGAUAUAUAUAUAAAUAAAUUUGUGCAGAAAGACAGGCUUCAUGAAACCAAAUAAAUUGUGCUGAGAAGCAAGCUUAAAAUGUAUUCAACCAUCAUCAUCUUGUGGCAUUCCGCUCUUAAAUUCUUAUUUCUUUCACAUUUUAACUUUAUAAAAAGGAUCCAAGAGGCAAUCAUCGUCUACCAAAACAAUCUUUAGCUACACGUAAUUAGAAUUUAUAAACAACUGACCUACAAAUAAUUGCAAAUAUCACCAAUAAAACCAAGAAUCAAAAUGCAGUCCAGAAAAAGAACCAAAAGCACAAUUCGACCAUUAAAUUACUUACCGAUGUAAGGAUCAGGGUGCCGCCACUUAUUAUACCGUGCCUCACCUUCUGCAAUCAUUCUAUCAAUUGCGUCCAGAUCCUCCACAUGCUUGUUGGCGUCGAACUUCUCGCGGAGGUUGGAGGCAUCUUGAUAGAAGAGGUGACGAUGGACGGCCCAAUUGAGAGUGUCUCUGAGGGCUCGGCGGUAGAGGAUCUGAACUCUCUCCUUCUGUGCUGCUCUCCUCGCUAAGUACGCCGCUGUUGACACGCUCAUCUCUCUCUCUCUCCCCAGACUCUUCUCGCUGCUUUCUUUGAGAAAAGGAAAUGCAAUCGCACAGUGGAAGCAAAGCAGAAGCGGCGUCGUUUAAGUCGAUUAAUUUUUUUAUCAGUGGAGACGAACGAUGUCGUUCUCAG